CCCAGACUCCUACGGGAGGCAGCAGUGGGGAAUAUUGCACAAUGGGGGAAACCCUGAUGCAGCGACGCCGCGUGAGUGAAGAAGUAUUUCGGUAUGUAAAGCUCUAUCAGCAGGGAAGAUAAUGACGGUACCUGACUAAGAAGCCCCGGCUAACUACGUGCCAGCAGCCGCGGUAAUACGUAGGGGGCAAGCGUUAUCCGGAUUUACUGGGUGUAAAGGGUGCGCAGGUGGCAGGGCAAGUCAGAUGUGAAAGCCCGGGGCUCAACCCCGGUAUUGCAUUUGAAACUGUCCGGCUAGAGUGCAGGAGAGGUAAGCGGAAUUCCUAGUGUAGCGGUGAAAUGCGUAGAUAUUAGGAGGAACACCAGUGGCGAAGGCGGCUUACUGGACUGUAACUGACACUGAGGCACGAAAGCGUGGGGAGCAAACAGGAUUAGAUACCCUCGUAAC
This 447-nucleotide ribosomal RNA is filed under the name uncultured bacterium. RNAcentral describes it as "bacterial SSU rRNA". It matches the Rfam family "Bacterial small subunit ribosomal RNA", at positions 330 to 794 of the family's 1533-position model. The record is from RNAcentral.